CAAUAGCGUAUACUAAUGUUGUUGCAGUUAAAAAGCUCGUAGUUGAACUUCUGGUAGGAGUGUCCCGGCCUUUUUGUUUUUACAAAUUGUAUGCUGUGUGACAUCUCUGGCCAUCCUUCUUCUUUGUUUAAAGAAGAUCUUUCACUGUAAAAAAAUUAGGGUGUUCAAAGCAAAAGUUUCUUUGGAAUAUAUUAGUAUGGGAUGAUAAGAUAGGCUCUAGAUGCUAUUUUGUUGGUUUGCACAUUUAGAGAAUGAUUAACAGGGACAGUUGGGGGUAUUCGUAUUUACAUGUCAGAGGUGAAAUUCUUGGAUUUUGGAAAGACGAACUACUGCGAAAGUAUUUACCAAGGAUGUUUUCAUUAA
Molecule: ribosomal RNA, 363 nt
Filed under: uncultured eukaryote
Lineage: Eukaryota
Description: partial 18S ribosomal RNA
Rfam family: Eukaryotic small subunit ribosomal RNA
Source: RNAcentral